This 94-nucleotide signal recognition particle RNA is filed under the name Stackebrandtia albiflava. Its description in RNAcentral is "Bacterial small signal recognition particle RNA". It matches the Rfam family "Bacterial small signal recognition particle RNA". Rfam says of the family: The signal recognition particle (SRP) is a universally conserved ribonucleoprotein involved in the co-translational targeting of proteins to membranes. The record is from Rfam by way of RNAcentral. Lineage: Bacteria; Bacillati; Actinomycetota; Actinomycetes; Glycomycetales; Glycomycetaceae.
GAUGCCUCUCACGCGGCGUUACCCCGUGAACCUCCCCAGGGCCGGAAGGCAGCAAGGAUAAGCGGGCUCUUGCGGGUGCGUGGGAGGCCCUUUU